RNAcentral lists this ribosomal RNA (1063 nucleotides) under Escherichia coli. RNAcentral's name for it is "partial 23S ribosomal RNA". It matches the Rfam family "Bacterial large subunit ribosomal RNA", at positions 824 to 1869 of the family's 2925-position model. The record is from RNAcentral. Lineage: Bacteria; Pseudomonadati; Pseudomonadota; Gammaproteobacteria; Enterobacterales; Enterobacteriaceae.
AAAGGCCAAUCAAACCGGGAGAUAGCUGGUUCUCCCCGAAAGCUAUUUAGGUAGCGCCUCGUGAAUUCAUCUCCGGGGGUAGAGCACUGUUUCGGCAAGGGGGUCAUCCCGACUUACCAACCCGAUGCAAACUGCGAAUACCGGAGAAUGUUAUCACGGGAGACACACGGCGGGUGCUAACGUCCGUCGUGAAGAGGGAAACAACCCAGACCGCCAGCUAAGGUCCCAAAGUCAUGGUUAAGUGGGAAACGAUGUGGGAAGGCCCAGACAGCCAGGAUGUUGGCUUAGAAGCAGCCAUCAUUUAAAGAAAGCGUAAUAGCUCACUGGUCGAGUCGGCCUGCGCGGAAGAUGUAACGGGGCUAAACCAUGCACCGAAGCUGCGGCAGCGACGCUGAUGCGUUGUUGGGUAGGGGAGCGUUCUGUAAGCCUGUGAAGGUGUGCUGUGAGGCAUGCUGGAGGUAUCAGAAGUGCGAAUGCUGACAUAAGUAACGAUAAAGCGGGUGAAAAGCCCGCUCGCCGGAAGACCAAGGGUUCCUGUCCAACGUUAAUCGGGGCAGGGUGAGUCGACCCCUAAGGCGAGGCCGAAAGGCGUAGUCGAUGGGAAACAGGUUAAUAUUCCUGUACUUGGUGUUACUGCGAAGGGGGGACGGAGAAGGCUAUGUUGGCCGGGCGACGGUUGUCCCGGUUUAAGCGUGUAGGCUGGUUUUCCAGGCAAAUCCGGAAAAUCAAGGCUGAGGCGUGAUGACGAGGCACUACGGUGCUGAAGCAACAAAUGCCCUGCUUCCAGGAAAAGCCUCUAAGCAUCAGGUAACAUCAAAUCGUACCCCAAACCGACACAGGUGGUCAGGUAGAGAAUACCAAGGCGCUUGAGAGAACUCGGGUGAAGGAACUAGGCAAAAUGGUGCCGUAACUUCGGGAGAAGGCACGCUGAUAUGUAGGUGAAGUCCCUCGCGGAUGGAGCUGAAAUCAGUCGAAGAUACCAGCUGGCUGCAACUGUUUAUUAAAAACACAGCACUGUGCAAACACGAAAGUGGACGUAUACGGUGUGACGCCUGCCCGGUGC